This 584-nucleotide long non-coding RNA is filed under the name Setaria italica (foxtail millet). RNAcentral describes it as "long non-coding RNA (SITA_LNC005732)". Lineage: Eukaryota; Viridiplantae; Streptophyta; Magnoliopsida; Poales; Poaceae. The record is from RNAcentral.
AAUUCUUCCUAAGCCGGUGACAGGCAAUUCAGUCACAAAGAAACAGAUCUGAUUGUACAACAUUCAGAAAUCACAAAUCCCCACCCUUGUCAGUUCUUGGAAACUCGCUGUCAUCGAUCUGACUUAAACACUGAACAACAAAUGGCAAGCCGAUCUGGUGCCAUGGAUGGAGUGGGCACUAGCAGACAGAGGAGGAACCCAGUGUUGGUCAGGCCAAACGCCGCGAAGCGCCACCUGCAGCAGCGGCAGCAGGAGGCUGAUCUGAAUGACAGGAAGGUCAUUGCGUCGACUUACUUCAGCAUCGGAGCGUUCCUCGUGCUCGCCUGCCUCACCGUAUCAUUGCUGAUACUGCCGUUGGUACUGCCUCCAUUGCCGCCACCUCCAUCGCUGCUGCUAUGGCUGCCAGUCUGCCUGCUCAUCCUACUGAUUGUGCUGGCCUUCAUGCCAACCGAUGUGAGGAGCAUGGCCUCCUCUUACUUGUAAAUAUGUCUACUGCCCUCGAGGCAAUUUUUUUUUGGUAUUUCGACUAAGACGAUUCCAAUGUGAAGCAUCUUUUCAGGAGUAGAUUCUGAGUGAAGAAGUUU